GGAGCAUCUAUGUAUCUAUAAAGCUUACUGUACUUUUAAAUGGAUGGAGAAAUGCCCAGCUGAAAACUUCGGGAGUGGAUGACCAGCUGGUGGGCCUAUUAUCUGGGCUAAAGAGAUUGCAGGCUGAGGAUAUGGAAACCCCCACUGCCCAUCUGGCUUGUGGAAGCAUCUGAGUCCUGCUGAGUCAAUGUGCCGUAAGAACUUCAGGUCCUGCUUCAACCAGAACAGGCUGUCCCCUGGGCGCUCACCCAGAUUGUUACGGCAGGAUGCUGCUGUUCCACUUCGGUCUUUUGCAGCUCCUGGACAGCCUUUAUGCAGUCACUUGUGUGCUCUGG
This 335-nucleotide long non-coding RNA is filed under the name Homo sapiens (human). Its description in RNAcentral is "HSALNT0193287". The record is from RNAcentral. Lineage: Eukaryota; Metazoa; Chordata; Mammalia; Primates; Hominidae.